RNAcentral lists this ribosomal RNA (725 nucleotides) under Bacillus subtilis. RNAcentral describes it as "bacterial SSU rRNA". It matches the Rfam family "Bacterial small subunit ribosomal RNA", at positions 49 to 756 of the family's 1533-position model. The record is from RNAcentral. Lineage: Bacteria; Bacillati; Bacillota; Bacilli; Caryophanales; Bacillaceae.
CUAUACAUGCAAGUCGAGCGGACAGAUGGGAGCUUGCUCCCUGAUGUUAGCGGCGGACGGGUGAGUAACACGUGGGUAACCUGCCUGUAAGACUGGGAUAACUCCGGGAAACCGGGGCUAAUACCGGAUGCUUGUUUGAACCGCAUGGUUCAAACAUAAAAGGUGGCUUCGGCUACCACUUACAGAUGGACCCGCGGCGCAUUAGCUAGUUGGUGAGGUAACGGCUCACCAAGGCGACGAUGCGUAGCCGACCUGAGAGGGUGAUCGGCCACACUGGGACUGAGACACGGCCCAGACUCCUACGGGAGGCAGCAGUAGGGAAUCUUCCGCAAUGGACGAAAGUCUGACGGAGCAACGCCGCGUGAGUGAUGAAGGUUUUCGGAUCGUAAAGCUCUGUUGUUAGGGAAGAACAAGUGCCGUUCAAAUAGGGCGGCACCUUGACGGUACCUAACCAGAAAGCCACGGCUAACUACGUGCCAGCAGCCGCGGUAAUACGUAGGUGGCAAGCGUUGUCCGGAAUUAUUGGGCGUAAAGGGCUCGCAGGCGGUUUCUUAAGUCUGAUGUGAAAGCCCCCGGCUCAACCGGGGAGGGUCAUUGGAAACUGGGGAACUUGAGUGCAGAAGAGGAGAGUGGAAUUCCACGUGUAGCGGUGAAAUGCGUAGAGAUGUGGAGGAACACCAGUGGCGAAGGCGACUCUCUGGUCUGUAACUGACGCUGAGGAGCGA